RNAcentral lists this ribosomal RNA (728 nucleotides) under uncultured bacterium. RNAcentral's name for it is "bacterial SSU rRNA". It matches the Rfam family "Bacterial small subunit ribosomal RNA", at positions 615 to 1346 of the family's 1533-position model. The record is from RNAcentral.
UUAAAAGUCCCGUUGAUUCUGGGAGGCUAGGAUUUGGUUGCUGUGGGUGGAAUGUGUGGUGUAAGCGGUGAAAUGCUUAGAGAUCACACAGAAUAUCGAUUGCGAAGGCAGCUCACAAAGCCAAGAUUGACGUUGAGGCACGAAAGUGUGGGGAUCAAACAGGAUUAGAUACCCUGGUAGUCCACACUGUAAACGAUGAUAACUCGCUGUCGGCGAUAUACAGUCGGUGGCCAAGCGAAAGCGAUAAGUUAUCCACCUGGGGAGUACGACCGCAAGGUUGAAACUCAAAGGAAUUGACGGGGGCCCGCACAAGCGGAGGAACAUGUGGUUUAAUUCGAUGAUACGCGAGGAACCUUACCCGGGCUCGAACGGUGCAGGAAUAUGGUAGAGAUAUCAUAGCUAGCAAUAGUCUGUAUCGAGGUGCUGCAUGGUUGUCGUCAGCUCGUGCCGUGAGGUGUCGGCUUAAGUGCCAUAACGAGCGCAACCCUUGUCAUUAGUUACCAUCAGGUCAAGCUGGGGACUCUAAUGAGACUGCCACCGUAAGGUGAGAGGAAGGGGGGGAUGACGUCAAAUCAGCACGGCCCUUAUGUCCGGGGCGACACACGUGUUACAAUGGGGGGUACAGAGGGCAGCCAUCCGGCGACGGAGCGCCAAUCUCAAAAACCCUUCUCAGUUCGGAUUGGAGUCUGCAACCCGACUCCAUGAAGUUGGAUUCGUUAUUAAUCGCG